Molecule: non-coding RNA, 6787 nt
Organism: Phalacrocorax carbo (great cormorant)
Lineage: Eukaryota; Metazoa; Chordata; Aves; Suliformes; Phalacrocoracidae
Source: RefSeq, a predicted model, not a curated record
UGAAGGGCAGAGAGAGAGGGUGGAGAAGGGAAAAGAAAGGGGGAGAAAAAGGAAGGGAAAGGAGAGGAAAAGAGAUUUCUGACAUUGCCCUGAAUACGUUGUUGUUGUUCCGCGGUGUCAGGUCCGAAGUAGAUACCUGUUGUCCAGCCCUCUCCAUGCUGUGACUAUCCCAGAUGAAAACAUUGGAAUGUCAUUUCUAUAAUUACACUAACAGUGAUCACAACUAACCUCUGUAACAGCAUCGUAUUCUCUUACAAAUGAUGGGUGUCAGCACGGCCGGUUCCACCCCAGAAAUAAGCCAUGAUGCUUCUGCGGGGUUGCCUGUGUGCCUUUUUCUUCAAGGAAGAAUGCAAAAGCCAUUCUUGCCUAAAACUUAACUGUAGUAAUUCUUACUCUGAAUCUCGCUGUGAAAACUUAGUUUUAGCACGUGUCAGGGAAUGAGGUUGGUUGUUUUUUUCUAGCACCAAAUCAAACACCUCAUGUAGGAAAUCAGACCCUGGAAGUGUGCAAGUGCUGGAAAUCACUGAUGGGCCUGGGAUCAUAAUAUGCUGAGAUGUGUCAUUGUCUAUAACUUUCUUUCUGUGAAACUACUAUUUGACUAUGUUUUUCCUGAGUCACUAUAUCUGUCUUUAGAGACUUCAGGAGUUAGCUAAAGGAAGCAUAGAAGUUGUUUUCUUGUUCUAAGGAGUCCUGAGUCCUUUAAAACAUCCUUCAGCCUCCCAGCGAGCUGGAGGCUGGCUAAAGGGGGGGCGCCUGGAGAGGCUUGUGAGAGUUCACAGAAGCAGCAGUUUAAAAUGUGCAUCCUCUCAAUGUCGGUGCAGCAAGCAGCUGCUCUGUGUAUCACCGCCUCUGCAUUUGUAAUCAGUGUUGGGAUAUAUGCACAUCUUAAUCGGAAAAUUAUAUUUGUUUCCUGGUCCAGGAAAAGCUGGGGUACUUUUGACCUGUGAAGUGCAAGUGUUGGCACAGGUAAGUUUUUGUCCCCGGAACACCAUUCACAUUAGAGCACCUUGGCAGUUGUAAAUCUGUCAUCCUGCAGUGCCCAUGCUAAAAGCAGCAGAACUUCUGAGGUUAGAUAAUUAAACGCAGUAAUAUAGAGAUACCACUAAAUUGGGAUAUUUGUAGCAUUUGGGAAAAUAUGACAACAGUUUAUUUUGUGGCAUUUUGGUGCUUUAUGAUGAUUAUUUUCAAAAAUAAAUUAUGUAGUCAAAAUGAAUUAUGUUUUCUAUAGGAAAUUAAAAUUGUUGUGAAAAGUUUUUAGCAUUUGGGGACUUGCUAUACUUGUACUAUGCAUUGGAAGUACCUAUGCUAUACGUAUGUAAUUCUGAGAGUGAGAUUAAAAGUGCAUAGAUAUCUUCACUGUAAUUAGGCAAUUUAGCCUCAACACGCUGUAUAGCAUUCUUGUCAUUUACUUUAAGUUACGGGUAACCUCCAGGCUCUUGGUUAGUAUAUUAUUAAUGCCUCAUAAGUCAUUUAAGUUGGACUUUUUUUCAUGCCCUGUGGAAUCCGGUAGUGUGUGAGGUGGCGUGCAAUUAGCUCAGCACUAGACACUAGAUAGAAUAUUAAUGCUUCUAAUUAAAAUAUAAUGCAGAUCAACUUGGCAUUCAUUGAGAUGCUGAGACGGCAGUUAGUUCCUUCCUUGUCAGUGCACUGAUUAAAGAGUCAAGGCGACAUUUUCUGAGGCCAAGAACUGCAUCUUGGUUUCAGUCUAUAAAAAAGCUAGUCUGGCAGGGAAGACAAGAGAGAAAUACGGGUAGAUUGAAAAGUCUUCACAGAGGUGAAGAAGAUCCAAAAAAGCUUUCAAGAGAUUUUCUCCAGUAGCGAAGGGACAGUUUAAAAAGAUGCUUAGAGGGUGGGUUAAAAAGGAAAUCCAUUUUACUUAAAGCUGCAUAGGAAAGGUAUUUACGUUAUUACGUGUUCUAAGUUAAGGUAACUUUUGGAAGCCCGCACAGUUUCUUAACUGUUCUUCACAAACUUUCUGGAAUAAGAGAGUUUUCAUCCCCUGAUUAUAAUUUAUUCUUUGAACGAAGUAAAGUAGGAAAGUUGUCGAAAAAAGUCUUCUUUUUUUUUUUUUAAGUAACUGAAGACUAUUUCAAUGCAGUUGCACAAGGGAGAAGGCCAAUUUCUGGUGUUCCCUAAGUUUUUUAUUGUUCGAUUUUACAACCUCAAAAUAUUUCCUAUUUCUUUUUUUUUUCUCCACAAACAGCAUUUAUGUAAUAAAAUAAAAGGAGUGAGAAGUUUGUCUUAAGCAAACUUGAGCCACAAACUAUUCAGGGCUACUCUAGCUGAAAUAAAUGAGAAACAGUUCAGUGACUUCAGUAAGAAGAAAAUCAGGCCCAAAGGGUUCUUCUCUGUGGCCGUUUAUGGUAUUCAUGAAACUGUAGUUUUUAAAGAUUGGAGAAAAACUUCUGCUGUGAAUUUAAUUCUUUUUCUUCUGGUCUAUGCAUGGUUUUGGUGCUGAAAAUACAGGCAUCACUCCACAAUUAUACUUUUCAAUAAUGCUGGCCUCCUUUUUGGCUUCUGACACCUCUGUUAUGAUUUAAAAUUGCAGUUGUCUUUUUUUUGCUGGUUUAUCUGCAUCUUAUUUUCUUUUAGAAAAUUCACUGAAAAAAAACUGUAUAAUGAUUUUGAUAUUGAUUGUGUGCUUUUCUAAAUUGGUGGCAGGGAAGGCUUCUGAUAGAUAAGACUUCCAAAUGGUUUUGAUAUAUCUUUCUAUUCUUAGCCAAUUUUCACAGAAGAAUUUUUAUAAAAUGAGCAGGGUCAUUUUUGUUGACUGUGCACAUAGAUAUACAUUGGAAAUUUGUCUUCUGUUUCCAGUUUUUCUAGUUAAGGAGUUGACCUAACAAAAAAAAUAAGAUAUUUAUGCUGGAAAUGAGAAAUUUUUUUUCUGAAUGCUGGUAGAAGUGCUUACUUUAUAGCUAGAUAUAGUGUGAAUCUCCACUUGCUUGUAAAAGUUUUCUACUUACCUCCCAGAUUUUUGUCAAAUACUGCCACUUGCUGGUUUUAUUGCAUACCAGUAAUCUAGUGUAGCUUUUGCUUUGCUGAAGUAAUAAAAAAAAACUUUUUAAAAGAUCAAAUAGUUAACACUUUUAUCUUUUGUUUUUAAAAAAAAUUCAGAUAUAAGCUCAAAAAAAUCAGGAACAUAAGUCAAAUCCUCUUCAGUUUAGUUUAUAUCUCCAUGUUAACAUUCUGUCUCUGGAUAUAAAAUGAGGCAUUCAAGACAUUUCAAUAUGUCUUUGGAUACCUGACAAUGGAAAUGCUUUGCAUUGACUUUAGCAGACACAGAAUCAUGACCUAGUUUAUUAUUUAAGACCCUUUUGUUUAACAAUAGCGUUAACAGUUAAGAGGAACGAAUUCUCAAAAUAACUGAUAAAAAAGCACAAUAAAAGCAUAUAUUUAAAGUGGUUUUAUUAUAAUAUACCAGCUCAGGACUAAAGCUUAAACACAUCUGAUUGUUAGUCUUUUAAAGGCAAAAACAAAGCUCAGACUCAUUUUGAAGGUGUCUUAUUUCUGUUACAUACAUAGAGCGAGUAUCAUGGGGUAGCUGGAUGGCAUGUCAGCAAAUGUGCUCAACUCAGGGUAUCAGCUAAGUCAAUUAUUUAAAUUCAUAAAUGCUUGUUUUUAAACUUUUCUCAACUAUCCAGGAAAGCUUAUGCUAUACUCGGAUACAUACUUUUUGAAAUACUGCAUGCUUCUUCAUAGAUCAGUCAGAGGCAAUAUAACUUCUUCUCUGACCAGGGGCAUUCAAGAGUUUAUGACGUAGAAUCAUAGAAUCAUUUAGGUUGGAAAAGACUUUUAAGAUCAUCAAGUCAGAUUCAAAUAUCCUUCUUCCUCUCAGUUGGGAAAGUGAUGUUGAUUUCUUUAAAAGCUGCCAUUUCCGUUCCUGAAUAUAAUAUGAAUUUACAGUGAAAAUUAUUCUUUUACUGGUUACAUUAUCAGAAACAUUCCUUCCAAGUUCAGAGAAGAGUGUACAGUUUUCUGGAACAUUCUAGGAUAUCUUUAAUUGCCUCAUGUCUUGUAGACCAUCUGAACAUGCAUUGUUAGUUUCUUAUAUAAUAAAUUCCUGGGACACGUUCUGUAUAAAUGGGCAAAAAACAAAAGCAAAGGUAAAACACUUAUUAACCCUCAUUGGCUGUGAGUUCAGAUUUGAAAAGUAGAUAACACAAUAGGAUAACCCUCUUUUUAUCAUGGCUCUUUAAACAAUAUGCUAGAAAAAAAAAAGACAUAAAAAUGAAAAAUAAUACUAAGCAUUGCUUUGACAAGCUGCUUAAAAUGUAGGAAACCAUAGAUCCUUGCUCAAUAGCCAGCCGACGUACCUAGUGGAAGAGUUGGCCUGUAAUGGUAAAUCAAAAUAAGAAAACUUCCCUGAAGAGACUUGUCCCAAGGAAAAUGUACACGAACCAAUGAGCUCCUGGUUUCCCACAGGGUAAUUUGCCCUAAUAUCAGCAUAACGGGAAAUUGGGUGUUAUUAGUUUAAUCCCUUGCCUACACUGAGGAAAUACCUCACCCAGAAGAGAUUCCGGGCUGUUAUUUGUACUACAGCUGUGCCUGGAGGUCUCAGCCAGGAUCAGAGCCACCCAGCCACAUGUUUUACAGACAUAGAUGAAAACCAGUGCCUUCUCUGAAGACAGAUGAAUGGAGUAGGACUGUACCCAUUUCCCAGAUCGAUACCGUCAGGGUCAUGGGUGCCCUGAGCCCAGGGGCCUGGCUAUGGGGGUGCAGUGCCAGCCUCAGAAGAGCAGAGCUGGUCCCUGAGGAGAAGGAGGUUCUGUGGGGACAGCCAGCCUCCCCUGCAAGGGCAAACAGCCCUACUUUUAAGCUGUCAUUUCAAGCCCCAUUCCCAUGGACCUGCUCAGUCAUCCCAGGGCUGUGUCUGACCCUGCUUCCCCCAGUGAGCCUGAUCCCAACCCCAAACCAUGGGUCGACACCCUGGCCCAGCCUUGUGUCCCCUCAGUCCCCAGAGAGGUGCCCGAUGCACAGGGCUGGGGCUGCCCCAGUGCCCCCCGCCUGCCCUGCUCCUGGCUGGGGAGUGGGACAGACCCCAGCUACCAGUUCCUGCCCUGCCCUCCCAAGGAGCCCCUGCCACUCCUGGCCAAAGGGAUGCCAUAUCCUAGCAAGGGUCCUAGAGGUAGUGUUGAACAAACACUGUUGCACUCUCCAGAGCAGUGUAAAUGUCUUCUGUUCUUAAUUUUAAAAGAAUGAGUAUCAUCAGGAGAAACAUAGUCAGCAGAUCAAGGGAAGCUGCUUUCCUUCUCAGCUGGUGCAUGUGAAGAACACGUCCUGUUCUGGGCUCUCCAAUGAAAGGUGAUGAUGAGAAACUGGAAGGGGGAUCACCAAGAUGCCCAAGGGCCUUGACUACAUGACCUAUGAACACAGGCUGAGGGAUCUGGGCUUGAUUCAUCUGGAGGCUGGCCAAGAAGCCUUCAGACAUCCCCUCCAGCGGACAUCUCUGUGGUUUUGCCAUCAGCUGUCUUGUGCUUUGGAAAUGCCUGUUUUGCUGUUAACAAUAGCAUGAGCCUAGGUGACCAGCUUGGGCAAGAUGCCUCACGAGCCUAAAAGAAGUCGUCUCACAGUAAGAAGAACCAAGUUCUAAUGUGAAAAAGCUUCUAUGGCAGUAUAUGAUCAUAUUGCCCUAAGCCUAACAAGAAACUGAAUAGGUCUGGGUGUAUCGUGUAUGCGUGGUAAAGAAUAAACUUUUACAUGUGAUGCUGAAAAGGGAGAUCAGAUUGUCUGAAAUGUUGCCUCUCUUAUCUACAAAAUAUAUAUAUCACAUUGUGUAAACACAAGGUCAUAUACAAACUAUCUUCCUCUUUCUUGCUGUGAUGUCCUUAGCUGGCUGCAGAGCUUUCCCUCCCUAUUUCGCAUUCUGUUGUGCAAAGUGCCCUGGUCAUUUUAUUUUGUUUUCCCUAGUCCCCCAGCAGUCGAUCAGCCUUUGCUCGGGGCAGAAAGGCUGUCUAGAAUUUGUAUGGCUGCUGCUGUCUUGGUCAUUUAGGAUGAUCUCUAAGGAAUGCAAUUAAGAAGAAUGGCAUGCAGGGAUAAUGUACAGAAUUAAUUAUUUAUACCAUUGCAUCAUGCUGGACACAAUAUAAUCUCAAUAUGGGAACCCAAGCAUAUGGUAAAGUCAUAAUUAUGCUUAUAAAUCAAUUGCCAAUUCCCUGUGUAAUUACUUUUGUUUGUUUUCCAGGAAGAUGUUUUUAAUUAGAUGGUUUAAUGGUGAUAAUGAAAUCUAAACCAGUUAUUAACUCAUUGCAGGGGUAACAUGGGUUAUGUCGUGGUGCAGAUCAGGGUUACUAUUGAAUGUGACAGCAUGUACUGAAGGUCACUGUUCCUGACACAGGCAGGGAUGACCAGAAGCGUUAACUGACUGUUGCCAUUCGCCUCUUCAGCUGACUUGUUCUAAAAGCAUGUCGAGGCCUCAGUGCAGGCUAGAGGAAAGGGAAAAGCUUUCCAACAGAGGUUCAUUCUCAUUUGGCUUAUUCCUCAUUUUUGAGUCUAGGAACCCGAUUAUCAAUCUAUUUUAUUUUAAAUACACUGUGCACAAUACUUCUGUUGCACUCUUCAGGGCAAGGAAACACUAUUCGAUGUCUCCCUAGGAAGUUCCGAAAUGUUGGAACAAACUUCAUGGGCUUACACACUUGUGUAGAGCGGGAAGUGCGUCAUUUGAAGAGGCGGACGCACAUCCUGUGGGGAGAAUUCAAGGAAUCAGCAGCCAAGGCUUCUUGUUAAGAACGGUCUCUGAGCAUUUCUUUGUUGUUGAUGCCAUGUAUGAAAUAAAGUGAAAAUGUUGAAA